UGGGGUCGGACAGCAUGACCUCGUCGGAGGGGAGCUGGGCGCGGCCCUCCAACAGGUUGCCGUAAUACUUGUUGUCGAACAGGUCGGGUGUGACCUGAUCCAGGUUCUUCAGGUCACCCUCACGCUGCCCGGCCGUGCAGUUCUCCCGCGUGAACUGGCACUGCACUUUGCCGAACGUGUGCGCUCCUGGAGUAGUAGAAGUGUAAUGUUAAAAUCAGUGUGUACACAACAUAGAAAAAAUCUUCUAGGAUCGUUCGAACUGUAUACAAAAUUACAUUGCUAAAAACUGAAAUGGUUUGACUUGGUAUGUUUACGUUACCUUGGAGGGCGACGAGGUCAGUGUCGUCGAGGUUGAAGUUUCUGAACUUCUCCUGGAGAACGUUCAGGGAGUCGAAAGGGCUCGGGAGGUUGUUGGCGCUCUCGACGUUGGUCGUCGUGCCGUCUCGCCGGCCGAGCAGCCCGCUCCAUCGUGGCCCUCCUGCCUGCGCCCAUGUCCGUGAUUUCGUGAGUUCAUGUGAGGACUGAGAGAAGCUAGGAGGCGCUGUGCCGACCAAUGCAAGAAGAUCGCGUUACUUACGAGUUCGACGGAGAUCUCAGCCGCUAGGGCGAGGAUAUCAGCGCAGGAGACGAUGCCGGGACACGCGUGCUCCAGCGCGGCCUUGAUGUCGUCGACCACGGGAAAGCCGCGCGCCGAGUUGUUGUUGGCAAGCACGUUCUUCUCGGUCUGGAUCGUCGGGAGGUCGUCGUCAAGGAGGAGCGAGCCGUCGCAGCCCUGGACGAAGCAGUCGUGAAAGUGGAGGCGGAUGAGGCUGGCCGGGAUGCGCGGGUCUGAGACGCGCGCGUUCUGGAUGACGCGCCGGACGACGUCGUAGGCGGUGGGGCACGACGCGUCGUAGAACGUGGAGCUCAGCGCCACGCCACCGGCACUAGCGCCGCCAGCCAAGGCGAGGAGGAGGGCGCAGUGCGCGGCUACCAGCAGCCCAAGAGAAGCGGAGCGAGAGGAAGCGGCCGCCAUGGAUGCGUGUGUGUGCACGUGUAGGGCUCUGAGUCGUUGCUGCCUGAUCACUGAAGACUGAAGAGGCUAGCCGCUUGUACUCACAAGCUCUGGCGAUGGCGCUCGUUGCAAGUGCGUGUAGAGCAGCCAGAGAUGGUUGUGAGUGACUUGUGAGGGGAUGGUCGUCGGGUGCAGCAUAUUUAUAGCCCGGCUCGGUUGGUUACUUGGUUAGUGAUGAUAAGCAGGUGCCCCGACUUUUCUUUGGGACGGUACGUGUCAGGUGCGCGUUUGACAUGUUCCGUUUGCCGCAGCUUGGCAACUGGAUUAGUUUAGCAGUGGCGAUGAUGGCUGCGGCACGCGGUUGCAGCCAGACAUAACAUAUAUCCUUUCAGUAUUGACAGCUGAGGCCAUGGACGAUGACAGCGAGAGGAGAAGUGGUCGUGCUGACUAGUUCUGAGCGAUUACUAGAGAUGACUGCGUGUGUUGUAUAUCGUAGCGAACAUGUUCCAUUAGGUUAUAGUUUGUGAUUUUGAUGAUUGAAUGACAACGUAGUUAUUGGAACUAAUAGUUUGUCAAGCAUGUGCCUUGUAGGUUUCCUAGGUGCCAAGUAUGCAAACCAAACCAGGGCAAAGUCCAAAUCAUGGUAUUCAAACAUCCAAGCCAUGGUAUUCUUGAUAGUCAAAUCACGGUAUUCAAGCAUCCAAGCUAUUGUAUUCGAGCAUCCAAGCUAUGGUAUUCAAGUGACCAAACCAUGGUAUUUAGGAUUAUUCUAAGAUAUUCAAGCAUCCAAAUGAUAAAGAAAAUCCAGAGAUAUUCUCAGAGAAGACAGAAAAAGACCUAUAGCAUCGGAUCAUCCGACGAUCAGGAGUUGGAGGCGUCGGAUGAAGCAUAUUUACUUUGCGAAGUUCUAGAGAGGUUUCGGGCGAAACUCCUUCAGCACCAUUUGUUCCGACGGUGCAUCGGAUGAAGCGUCGGAUGAAGCAUCGGAUAGAUUUUGGAUGUGUCACUAAAGAACUUGGGCGCGGGGAGGCUAACGGCUAGUUGCACCGAAUGUUCUGAUACAUGCCAAAAUAGACCAUUGGAACAUCGAAUGGUAUACUUUAACUAGACGUUGGAGCAACGGCUCUUUGGUAUCUUGGACUAUUUAUACCCCCUCCACUCGUCCAUUUGAAGUUGCUGGAGUGUGCAGGAAUCUAUUGGAGAUCAAAACUCAUCAAGAACAUAUUCAAGCCACCAAAAGUGCCUAAGUGAUUUAUCAAAGCUUAGAAGGGUGAUUAGUGUCAGAAUAGGCCUAGAGAAGAGAGAGUGCAAGGUGUGCCUACCUUGUGAUCGGUUCAAGGAGUGAACCACAGCUGUACAAGGUGUGCCGGCACCUUGAAGCCUUGGUGGCUCGCCGGCAAGUCUUCGACCCUCCAACUUGGUGUGGAGCGGUGUCGACAACUGUGUGCGGGGAUGUGGAGAUCACCUUCCUUCGUGGAGAAGCUCUUUAGUGAAUGCGGCAUCAAGGUAACUGGGGAACUUGAUGUGAGCGUUAGUGAUCAAGCCUCUGUGGCAAGUCAAGGGGUGUCCCGGAAGAGAUUUGGUGACUGGGAAGCAAUACUCUUGUGUGAGUGCUUCAACAAUGUGGACUAGUGGUGGCUUAGUGCCUACCAAUACCACGGGAUAAAUCAUCGUGUCAAGAGUUUACUUUCCCUCAUCCCCUUCUCUUACAUUUCUUGUUUAUAUUCUUGCAACUUGUGUGCCUUUACAUUCUUAAUGUAGUAUCUUAUUAGGAUUGGCUCUAGGUUGCAAAACUUGUUUCGGGAUGAGGGUUUCAUACUAGAUCAACCAUAGUUGCAUAUCUUGAUAGCAUGAUCUAGUUUAAGUUUGAUGCAAAAAUAAUAGAAAUCAUAGGUUAAAGUUUUAAGUUGCCUAAUUCACCACAUUCCCCUCUUAGACUACGAGCACCGAUUCGAUACAUACAUACAUAUAUAUAUACAUACAUACAUAUAUAGAGAGACUCUUUGUUACAACUUGCAAGCGGUAUGAAAACGGGAAGGUGCCCGAGACCCUUGGCCAGUUCUUCACAAAAGUAGCAAAAGGAUAUCAGAGUUGCGAGUGUAUGGGGCCAGUGCGCAGUGGGAGUGAGAGUGGGUGCAGCUGCCGACCGGAGACCAAGUGUUGCCGCAGCUGCGAGGAAACGGCCGAUCGAGUGGGACUCUUCGUGGGAGAGUAAUCAGACUCAGACAGCGGCUCCAAGCAGCUUGACAACGGUACAUCUUUAAUGUUGCAUGCAGUUGCUUCUCAUUCUUGGAUGCAUAUUGCAGGUGCAGACGUGCAGUGAUGCAUGUAUCUAGUCGAUCUAGUGGCCGGUUGUUGCAAUCCAUCUUCUCUGAGUUUACGUGGUCAUCAUGCUUUUGCAAUUUGUGUCUUGUUCCCUCCUAAUAAAAAUCAGAAGACAAAUCUCUUGCCGUUCCGUUCAAGAAAAAAAAACUGUGCUUUUGCAAAAGGGUGCAUUCUUUCACAGGACAAAGUCCGUUUAAGCUUGUUCAACAAUAUCUCGAGUUUGGUUUCCCCUACUGCAAUAUCAGAAUCGAGGCACCCUCAAAGCAUAUGUACCAUUGUAUCCGAAAUUUAAAUACAAACGAAUGAUUUUAGUGAUAUUAUCUACAGGUUCGGUUUGGUUUCGGAUUUGGUACUGCUUUGCUCACAUUGAGUUCCAGGCUUAUUUCCUUUCUUUUGGAUUUUUAUUUAUGUCUUGUAAUGCUGGAGGCACCGUCUUAGCAAUCACGUUCAAAGCCCAAAACAAUAUUUAUCUUGAAAUAAAUUUCCUUCGUCUAAAGAUCUACUCCCUCCGUUCCAAAUUAUAGGUCGUUUUGACUUUUCUAGAUACAUAGAUAUUAUUAUGUAUCUAGACAUAGGGUAUAUCUAAGUGCAUAAUAAAGUCUAUGAAUCUAAUAAAGUCAAAACGACCUAUAAUUUGGAACGGAGGAAGUAUAAUGCGCCCAUUAUUUACAUAUUUACAGAUCUAUGAGGUAGUGUGCAUGCAUAGUGGUUGCACCAUUUUGUGCAUUGCCUUGUAAGAAGAAAGAGACAAGAUACUAUCAAUAACAUGCAAAAACACCCUAGGUCCAUCCAAAGGGAGUUUUGUGCUGAAAUGCCAGUGUUUUUUCAGCGAGUUUGUUGAGAAACACACAAAAUUCAAAUUAGUUGUCAAAAGUUUCGAGCCAAUCCAAUGCUUCAUGGUAUGAGAUUUCUACAAUAAUAAAAUAAUGUAGUGCAUCUAGUACUAUUUACUCAUUUGUACUCUAUAUUUUUGUUAUCGAAACAUUUUAAUGAAACUAAAAUAAAAUAUGAGAAAAGUUGGUUUUAGCAAUAUUUGAAAACCCAGGCUACUUUGUAUCCUUUACCUUUUUGUUGAUUUAUUGUUUGAGCUUCCACCUCAGAUAAAGAACAGCCUACACAGAAAAUACCACAUCAAUAAAAAGUUCGUUUGACUUCCGUUUUAUUUGUUUCGGAUGGAUGGAGGGGGAGGUUAAAGUGGAAUUAUUCUUCUUCUUUUUUUGCAGUUUCUACCCUAGUUACUUGCUAGAUUGCUUCGUUUGGCAGCCCAACCAUGAGUGGCUUGUGCCAACUCUGUUUGAGGAAUACAUUGCCCAAUUUGGACUUUUCUUUAUUUUUAUGUCUCAAGAAUAGGUCUACGGUGCACUUAGAAAAGAUGGCAAGAGAAUUGCCGUGUUAUAUUAAUAGAAAGGAAAAAAGAAAAGAAAAUAACCGUAAAAGGACAACAACUGAAAAGUUGUGGAGAGACCUAGAGAACGCAACACCUACAACCGGGAUCAAUAACACGAGGGGAUGAGGACAACUAACACAACAGUAUAACUAAAGAAAAAGCAAGACAUCACUACAUCGCAAAAGAAAAAUCGACUUGGGAUGGAAAGACCACACGCAACUACGACUGAUCAUUUAUAGCUUCGUUUAGACCGUAUAUCAUAAUUCUAUUUUUCGUAUAUUUCCUUUGUCAUAUAGUACAACAUAUUUGAUUUGUAUUGUCUCGUGAAGGAAUGGAACUUAUAACAUUGUAAAAAAGAAUAAAUACAGAUUUUUGAGCUAGUUGUUCUGAAUAUGUUGGAUUGACAUCUGUCGAUUGUUUCUUCACUUCAUUUCGAUUCUUUUUUACAGUCUUGCAAAAUUUUCCAUUGAGUUUAUCAAAACGCAUUUGAUAUUAUAUUUGCUAAAAGAAAUGCAAAGAAUAGUUCUUGGAAUGCAAAGAAACAUUUUCACACUUGUUUCACGAAAUGGGGUCAGCUCAUACUUACAAAAAGGACCGAGAAAAGAAUCGAAAUAAUGAUGAUUUACAAAUUACAACAUCAUAACAUGAUAAAAACAUCAAUCUGAAUCAGAGUCUUCAAUAACCUUUGCUAUUGACCCUCCGGCAGUUCUUCCUGAUCUCUCCAUCCUUCCCAGUCAGAGGGCUAAUGUUCCCCAUCUUAAUCAUGGACGCCGCGAAGUUCCUGAAGAAAUCCUUCUGGUUGCUCGCGAAUCGGUGAACAAUGGGUGCAGUUGUCGCCGGCGCAGCUGGGUCCGACAGCAUGACCUGGUCGGAUUCGAGCUGGGCGCGGCCGUGCAAGAGGUUUCCGUAAUACUUGUUGUCGAACAGGUUGGGUGUCGCCUGGUCCAGGUUCUCCAGUGAAUCCACGGGUUGCCCGGCCGUGCAGUUCUGCCGCGUGAACUGACACUGCACUUUGCCAAACGUGUGCGCUCCUGGAGUAGUAGAAAUUUGUUGUUGAAAUAGUGUUCUAGGUUUGAACUGUGUACACAAAGUUACAUUGAUGAAAACUGAAAUUUUUUUGAC
Molecule: long non-coding RNA, 5828 nt
Filed under: Setaria italica (foxtail millet)
Lineage: Eukaryota; Viridiplantae; Streptophyta; Magnoliopsida; Poales; Poaceae
Description: long non-coding RNA (SITA_LNC002129)
Source: RNAcentral